RNAcentral lists this ribosomal RNA (494 nucleotides) under uncultured bacterium. RNAcentral's name for it is "partial 16S ribosomal RNA". It matches the Rfam family "Bacterial small subunit ribosomal RNA", at positions 28 to 507 of the family's 1533-position model. The record is from RNAcentral.
GACGAACGCUGGCGGCGUGCUUAACACAUGCAAGUCGAACGGUGAAGCGCCUUCCUUUUUGGUGGGUGUGGAUGAGUGGCGAACGGGUGAGUAACACGUGAGUAACCUGCCCCCUUCUUCUGGAUAACCGCAUGAAAGUGUGGCUAAUACGGGAUAUUCUGGGUCUGUCGCAUGAUGGGUCUGGGAAAGAUGUUGUUUCGGUGGGGGAUGGGCUCGCGGCCUAUCAGCUUGUUGGUGGGGUGAUGGCCUACCAAGGCGGUGACGGGUAGCCGGCCUGAGAGGGUGGACGGUCACACUGGGACUGAGACACGGCCCAGACUCCUACGGGAGGCAGCAGUGGGGAAUAGUGCACAAUGGGCGCAAGCCUGAUGCAGCGACGCCGCGUGAGGGAUGGAGGCCUUCGGGUUGUGAACCUCUUUCGCCAGUGAAGCAGGCCUGCCUCGUUUGUGGGUGGGUUGACAGUAGCUGGAUAAGAAGCGCCGGCUAACUACGUG